UAGACGUCGUGUCCACGCGAUUCACAUUAAAAGAAACAUUUAGUGUCUUGCAUUUUAAUUAAGGAAACCUUGUGUUUAACACAAUCGAUUGUUGUCGUAUAAUGAUAUACCUAUCACUACGUUUUUACUAUUAGAGCUGCAUAACCAUUUUUACAUUGCGUUCGGACGGUAAUAUCUUGGACGUUGAAGUACUAGUCGACAAAUCGCCGCUUUGUACAAUAUACGUCUCGAAUAAAACGUACCUAUUUAAUUUAUUAAAUCGCGUUUAUUGCUCAUCGCACAAGAGGUUAUUUAUAUGACGUAUAAACAAUAUCGAACAAUAUUGUUGUUAUUCACAUUUAUCAAAUAUAAUAAUAUGCAACUGCCGCCAAUUCGAUUUACGACACAAAAUGGGAAUUUUAUAAACAUGAGUAUACAAGACUUCUUUAAAGGGCGUAAUGUCUUGGUAACAGGUGCGACCGGAUUUAUGGGCAAAGUUUUAAUUGAAAAACUAGUUCGGUCCUGUCCAGAUAUUGGUAAAAUUUGUCUGUUAGUGAGAAAUAAAAAAGGAAAAGAUACAAAUUCCAGAAUUAAAGAAAUUUUGGAUGUUAAACUAUUCGAUACAAUUAAAGAACAAAAGCCUGGUUUGAUGGAGGAAAAACUGUAUCCCGUACUGGGUGACAUGACCGAACUACGACUUGGGCUGUCGGACGAGGAUUACAGUUUUUUGGUAGAAAAUGUUUCGGUCGUGUUCCACGUUGCUGCCAGUGUCCGUUUUGAUGAACCGAUACGAGAUGCGACAAUUAUGAAUGUAAGAGGAACACGUGAAGUUGUGCAAUUGGCUAAACAAAUGAAACGUUUAAAAGUAUUUCUGCACGUGUCGACUGCGUAUUGUAACUGUAUAAGAGAACAUGUCGAAGAAAAAGUCUAUGAAUCGCCAAUUGGUUGGCGAGAAGCAAUCUCGAUCGCUGAAAAUCUAGAUCCGACCAUGAGUAGUAUUUUAACAAAAAAGUUUUUAGGAUCGUUUCCAAAUACAUACACGCUAACGAAAUUACUCGCUGAACAAAUAAUUAAUGAAGAACGGAAUAACAUACCGGUAGUAAUAUUCAGACCAUCGAUUGUUAUAUCAUCUUUGAAUGACCCUAUCAAAGGAUGGAUCGAUAAUUUCAAUGGACCGAUUGGACUUAUGAUGGCAUGCGGUAAAGGGAUCGUACGAAUAACAUACGGCGACAAAUCGAUAGUUCCCGAUUACAUGGCCGUUGAUAUAUCUAUAAAAUCAAUGAUCGUAGCAGCUUGGCACAGAUCGAAAUCAAAUUUGUUGGAGAAGGAAAAUUAUGUUCCUGUUUACAACAGUGCAUCCGUAUCGAAAUCCGUGUCAAACGAACAACUACUAGAUUUAGGUAUGAAAACUCUUGAACAAUACCCAUUCGAUGAAAUGAUGUGGCGUCCGACGAUCAAGUUUACAACUUGCUUUUACUACUACUACUUAUCUACAAUAAUUGAGCAAGUCUUUCCGGCAAUAUUUUUCGAUGCAUUCUUGGACCUAAUUGGGAAACCACACAAACGUUUGUUACCUUUGCAACAAAAAAUAUAUGUUGUAACGAUGGCUUUAUCUUACUUUACUACAAAAUCUUGGAAAUUUGACAAUUCAAACUUUUUGGGAUUAAUUGAUAAGAUACCAGAUGUGGACCGCAAAGAAUUUGACUACGAUUUCAAAGAUGUAGAUAUCAUCGAAUUCAUGAAAAAUGCAACAAUCGGCUCUCAAAAAUAUCUAUUUAAUGUCGACGAAACAAAAUUACCGUUUGCGAGAAAACUAUUAAACCGAUUCGUAUGGAUGGACAGAAUAUUAAAAACAUUUGGUGCAACAAUAUUGGUAUUCAUUUUAUUUUACUUUAAUAUCAUACCAAGCACAUUCCUUUAUAAUAUAUGUUGUCAUUUUAGAUCAAUUUAAUUGAAUUCUUAUUUAAUGCACAAUUUAUUUGUCGGGAAACAUAAUUUUUAUUUUUUUAUCUGUCAUGUUGUUCUCUACAAUAAUUGAAUGAAGACUCCGGGUCAACGUUCAAACGUCUUUAAUUUAAACGAAUUAUCAGAAAUAUAAUUGGUAACGUAAACACUAAGAAUCAAUAUUAAUAUAUUUUAUAAGCUUGUAUUUUUUGAUUUUACCUAAUAGUGUUUUAAUUAAUUGUGUUGUUGUUGUCUAGUAUAAAUACACAGCUGAUGUCUGGCUGUUACAUUAAAUUCUAAAAUGUUAGUAUGUUGA
This is an RNA transcript of Aphis gossypii (cotton aphid), 2239 nucleotides long. It is a transcript of the gene named fatty acyl-CoA reductase 1-like, with no coding region annotated. The transcript has 11 exons. Lineage: Eukaryota; Metazoa; Arthropoda; Insecta; Hemiptera; Aphididae. The record is from RefSeq and is a predicted model, not a curated record.